Trichomonas vaginalis G3 is the source of this 82-nucleotide non-coding RNA. The record is from Rfam. Lineage: Eukaryota; Parabasalia; Trichomonadida; Trichomonadidae.
GCUACUAUGGCCGAGCGGUCUAAGGCGUUGGAUUCAAGUCCCAAUACCGCGAGGUUCCUGGGUUCGAACCCCAGUGGUAGCA